UAGCGGUUAUACCAUGUUCGGAUGUUGGUUAAACGACUCGAUAGUUUCAAAUUGUUAUGGAUUUGGAGGUGAUUAUUGAGUGUGAUUUGUACUUGGAUUGGUCAUAGAAUUGGAGUGAGCCAAGGAAGAUUUUUCAUAGUAUUAUAAAGGAUUGUUCUUCAAGGUUAAAUCCGUAUGGGGAUUAUAAUUGGUAUUGGCAUACUUGGAUAUUGCAAAUAAUUGUAUUUCUAUUAGUGGAUUAAAUUCUUAAGACCAUAGACUAUGCAUGUUGAUGGGAGAAUUCUAGUUAUUUGAAUUUUCAUGUUUGGAUUGGGCUAUUAGAUCUUU
Molecule: long non-coding RNA, 327 nt
Filed under: Phoenix dactylifera (date palm)
Lineage: Eukaryota; Viridiplantae; Streptophyta; Magnoliopsida; Arecales; Arecaceae
Description: long non-coding RNA (PDAC_LNC013966)
Source: RNAcentral